Molecule: long non-coding RNA, 792 nt
Organism: Helianthus annuus (common sunflower)
Lineage: Eukaryota; Viridiplantae; Streptophyta; Magnoliopsida; Asterales; Asteraceae
Exons: 2
Source: RefSeq, a predicted model, not a curated record
AUUAAAUUUUAUUACAUAUCUCACAUGCCAUUUUGAUUGUUAUUAAACAAUUGACCCAAGCUUACUAAAGUAGACCCAAGAUUAUUAAAGUAUACUUAAGUAUAGAUUUAGAUAAGUGGCAAUUACCGUGAGUAGGGAUGAGCAUGGUAUCAGUACCGAAAUUAGGAAAACCGGGUAACGGUACCAAAAAUGUUUGGUACGGUAACCGGUUUGAGUAUUUUACCGGUACGGAACCUAAACGUCAAAAUGGGUAUCGAAUAGGUACCGAAAAUAAUUCGGUACAGGAAAUGCUCAUCCCUAAUGACCAUUGUGGUUUUUUGAUAGUGUUUUUGUUUUUAAAAAUGAUUUGUCAUAUUUAUGUGUUGUUUUGUUUGCCACAUGAAAAUUGUUAGAUUAUAAGCUCUAUUGUUAAAGUUAUUAAAUAAUCCCUUAAAAUCCAGUCUCAAGUGACGUAUUUAUGGCCAGGACUACCCAUAAGAUCAAGACACUCUCCAUCAUGGAGUGUGGUGUAUACCUCUUUGUUCCGAAAUACCAGUCAUUUGCAGAUGGUGGGAUUCAAUUUCCAUGUUGAAGUGAGUUGUCCUAUUUUGACCACUACAAUUAAUGUCCUCUAUGCACUUAUAAAUAAAACGAGUCCGAGUAAUCAUGAUAUAGAGCAAGAAGAUCCAAGACAAAUGGAUAAGACAAACGUGGCCUAUAAAGAAAAUCUUGGACUUGUGAUUUUUUUUCGUAUUUCCUUUUUUAGUUCAUUGUAAUUAAUAUUUACCUAAGUAAUGGAAGGUUUUGUUUUCA